CAGGCCUAACACAUGCAAGUCGAAGGAAAGGCCCUGCUUUUGUGGGGUGCUCGAGUGGCGAACGGGUGAGUAACACGUGAGUAACCUGCCCUUGACUUUGGGAUAACUUCAGGAAACUGGGGCUAAUACCGGAUAGGAGCUCCUGCUGCAUGGUGGGGGUUGGAAAGUUUCGGCGGUUGGGGAUGGACUCGCGGCUUAUCAGCUUGUUGGUGGGGUAGUGGCUUACCAAGGCUUUGACGGGUAGCCGGCCUGAGAGGGUGACCGGCCACAUUGGGACUGAGAUACGGCCCAGACUCCUACGGGAGGCAGCAGUGGGGAAUAUUGCACAAUGGGCGGAAGCCUGAUGCAGCAACGCCGCGUUCUUUUAUGACGGCCUUCGGGUUGUAAACCGCUUUCGCCUGUGACGAAGCGUGAGUGACGGUAAUGGGUAAAGAAGCACCGGCUAACUACGUGCCAGCAGCCGCGGUGAUACGUAGGGUGCGAGCGUUGUCCGGAUUUAUUGGGCGUAAAGGGCUCGUAGGUGGUUGAUCGCGUCGGAAGUGUAAUCUUGGGGCUUAACCCUGAGCGUGCUUUCGAUACGGGUUGACUUGAGGAAGGUAGGGGGGAAUGGAAUUCCUGGUGGAGCGGUGGAAUGCGCAGAUAUCAGGAGGAACACCAGUGGCGAAGGCGGUUCUCUGGGCCUUUCCUGACGCUGAGGAGCGAAAGCGUGGGGAGCGAACAGGCUUAGAUACCCUGGUAGUCCACGCUGUA
RNAcentral lists this ribosomal RNA (750 nucleotides) under uncultured bacterium. Its description in RNAcentral is "bacterial SSU rRNA". It matches the Rfam family "Bacterial small subunit ribosomal RNA", at positions 43 to 804 of the family's 1533-position model. The record is from RNAcentral.